RNAcentral lists this ribosomal RNA (471 nucleotides) under uncultured bacterium. RNAcentral describes it as "bacterial SSU rRNA". It matches the Rfam family "Bacterial small subunit ribosomal RNA", at positions 335 to 799 of the family's 1533-position model. The record is from RNAcentral.
ACUCCUACGGGAGGCAGCAGUGGGGAAUAUUGCACAAUGGGGAAACCCUGAUGCAGCCAUGCCGCGUGUGUGAAGAAGGCCUUCGGUUGUAAAGCACUUUCAGUAGGGAGGAAGGUAGUGUAGUUAACACCUGCACUAUUUGACGUUACCUACAGAAGAAGCACCGGCUAACUCCGUGCCAGCAGCCGCGGUAAUACGGAGGGGUGCGAGCGUUAAUCGGAAUUACUGGGCGUAAAGCGCAUGCAGGCGGCCUGUUAAGUCAGAUGUGAAAGCCCGGGGGCUUAACCUCGGAAUUGCAUUUGAAACUGGCAGGCUAGAGUCUUGUAGAGGGGGUAGAAUUUCAGGUGUAGCGGUGAAAUGCGUAGAGAUCUGAAGGAAUACCAGUGGCGAAGGCGGCCCCCUGGACAAAGACUGACGCUCAGAUGCGAAAGCUGGGGAGCAAACAGGAUUAGAUACCCUGGUAGCACAGAG